RNAcentral lists this unclassified non-coding RNA (201 nucleotides) under Hevea brasiliensis (rubber tree). The record is from RNAcentral. Lineage: Eukaryota; Viridiplantae; Streptophyta; Magnoliopsida; Malpighiales; Euphorbiaceae.
UUGGAGAAUUCACCAUCAAUUGCCAGUGUGGAGAAAAACAUUGGCCCAUUGCCAUUGUAACAUAAAAACAACACUGGAUGUUCAAAUUUUGAAUAAAAUCAUAUUUGGGUAUAGUACUGAUCUUCAUUUCAUCCAGUUACGGCCAUUCCAAUCAUGGUUGUGUCGGACCCAACUCCCAAAAUAAAUGAUGGGAAUUGGGGA